RNAcentral lists this transfer RNA (77 nucleotides) under marine sediment metagenome. RNAcentral's name for it is "tRNA-Ala". It matches the Rfam family "tRNA". Rfam says of the family: Transfer RNA (tRNA) molecules are approximately 80 nucleotides in length. Their secondary structure includes four short double-helical elements and three loops (D, anti-codon, and T loops). The record is from RNAcentral.
GGGGCCUUAGCUCAGUCUGAGAGAGCGCCUGUCUUGCAAACAGGAGGGCGUGGGUUUAAAUCCCACAGGCUCCACCA